This 497-nucleotide ribosomal RNA is filed under the name uncultured bacterium. RNAcentral describes it as "partial 16S ribosomal RNA". It matches the Rfam family "Bacterial small subunit ribosomal RNA", at positions 28 to 507 of the family's 1533-position model. The record is from RNAcentral.
GAUGAACGCUGGCGGCGUGCCUAAUACAUGCAAGUCGAGCGAACAGAUGAGGAGCUUGCUCCUCUGACGUUAGCGGCGGACGGGUGAGUAACACGUGGAUAACCUACCUAUAAGACUGGGAUAACUUCGGGAAACCGGAGCUAAUACCGGAUAAUAUAUUGAACCGCAUGGUUCAAUAGUGAAAGACGGUUUUGCUGUCACUUAUAGAUGGAUCCGCGCCGCAUUAGCUAGUUGGUAAGGUAACGGCUUACCAAGGCAACGAUGCGUAGCCGACCUGAGAGGGUGAUCGGCCACACUGGAACUGAGACACGGUCCAGACUCCUACGGAAGGCAGCAGUAGGGAAUCUUCCGCAAUGGGCGAAAGCCUGACGGAGCAACGCCGCGUGAGUGAUAAAGGUCUUCGGAUCGUAAAACUCUGUUAUUAGGGAAGAACAAAUGUGUAAGUAACUAUGCACGUCUUGACGGUACCUAAUCAGAAAGCCACGGCUAACUACGUG